This 1459-nucleotide long non-coding RNA is filed under the name Gossypium barbadense (sea-island cotton). RNAcentral describes it as "long non-coding RNA (GBAR_LNC015121)". Lineage: Eukaryota; Viridiplantae; Streptophyta; Magnoliopsida; Malvales; Malvaceae. The record is from RNAcentral.
CCCCCCAUUUUUUUUUAAAAUGGUGCCUUUUAAUUUUUUAUUCAAACCUUUAUAUUUUUUUAAGCUUACAAAUCCCUUUUCUAAACAAAACCCCAAGCUCCUCUCUGUUAGGUUUUCACCCAAACAUGACGCCGGACCACCACCAUAUCUGGUAGCCGACGGUGUGAAAAAAAAAAUGGCCUGAGAUCAUUACUAUAAAGGCCUGGUAAGUGAGCUCCCUUUCUUUUCUUUCUUUAUUUUCAUACACCAAUAUAUAAAAAAAACUGGAUGAAAACAAUUUGAAAUCCCAUUUGGCUUUAGAAAAUAAGAGGGAGGGUUCUAUCAAAUGAGAAAGCAAGAAAGCAAAGGGCAUCAACCCCAUUCGGGUCCGGAUCCAAUGACGGAGGAGACCCCCGACGACACUGCCACGAGGUUCCGGGUAAGUUCUUCUUCUCCCUUUUUGUUUGAAAUAGAUUUAUAAAAAAAUAAAAAAAUAAAAUAAAUAACAAAAAUGAAAAAUGAACAAAGGGAACCCUAGAAAUUAAAAUCAACCUUUUUUUUUGCUCUUGAUUUCUGAUGUGCCUGUGAAAAUACAAUCUUUUUGUAUUCAAAAAUCCCCCUCUAUUUACAAUCGGUUCUCUCCCCCCUAUUUACAACCGGUUUCCCUAAAAUACAAUCGAUCCCCCCAUUUCAAAAUACAAUCCGUUUCCCCUCAAAUCCCUCAUCCAAAAUACAAUCUGUUUUCCCCUCCUUUGAAAUAUCAAAAAUCCUCCUCGUUCCAAUGAUAGAUUUCGGCUUUUAAAGCCAAUAUAUUUGUUUUGUUCCUUUUGUUUAUUACUUCCCCCAUCAUUCGCAUGUUUUCUUUGCUGUUGUGUUUGUUCUUGUUGCAGGUGGUGGGCACGGUGGAGCAGGUGGGAGUGUCAGACGCGUGGGGCGUGGUGGACGAGGGGGCCACGCAUGGAAGCUUGCGACGGCUAGCUUGGGGAAGCAAACUAGGGUUUGCUGAAAAUGGGGUUAAUCUUGGGCUAGGGUUAUGUUUGUUUUGGGUUUAGGGUUAAUUUUGGGUAGUUUGGGCCAUAUGAAAUUUGGGCUGCAAUGUAUUUGGUUUAUGUUUUAUUUUUAUUUUGUUUUUGUUUUGCACUGGGUCCGGGCAAAAUGGGCUCGUACAGAGACCACAAAUUUUCGUCGUGUCAACUUGUAAAUAUUAUUUUUAGAAUAUUUAUGGAUUCGUUAGAGUCGUAUUAAAAUUUGGUUUUAACAUUUAGAUAGUUAAUUAAAGAAAAGGGACCAAAUUGUAAAAGGUGAAAAUUUUAAUAAUUAUUACAUUUAGAUGGUUUAAUAGCUUAAAUAUCAUAGGAGGGAGGACCUAUGUAGCAAUUAAACCCUAGUUAAUAAUGUUGGACAUCAAUGGAUGUAAAAAUAGUAGAAUAAGACAUGUUUUAAUGGCAAAAUGAUAAUUAACCUAAAAAUUAAAACAAAU